AACGAACGCUGGCGGCAUGCCUAACACAUGCAAGUCGAACGAGACCUUCGGAUCUAGUGGCGCACGGGUGCGUAACGCGUGGGAACCUGCCCUUAGAUUCGGAAUAACUCCCCGAAAGGGGUGCUAAUACCGGAUAAUGUCUUCGGACACAAGAUUUAUCGCCGUUGUAUGGGCCCGCGUUGUAUUAGCUAGUUGGUAGGGUAAAAGCCUAUCAAGGCGACGAUCCAUAGCUGGUCUGAGAGGAUGAGCAGCCACACUGUGAGUGAGACACGGCCCAGACUCCUACGGGAGGGAGCAGUAGGGAAUAUUGGACAAUGGGCGAAAGCCUAAUCCAGCAAUGCCGCGUGAGGGAUGAAUGCCGUAGGGUUGUAAAGCCCUUUUACCCGGGAUGAUAAUGACCGGACCGGGAGGAAAAGCCACGGCUAACUCCGUG
Molecule: ribosomal RNA, 433 nt
Filed under: uncultured bacterium
Lineage: Bacteria
Description: partial 16S ribosomal RNA
Rfam family: Bacterial small subunit ribosomal RNA
Source: RNAcentral